AGGACAGUAGCUCAGUGGUGAGAGUGUCUGUUUUGAAUGCAGGAGGCCCCAAGUUCAGUACCUGUCUGAAUCCG
This is a non-coding RNA of Podarcis lilfordi (Lilford's wall lizard), 74 nucleotides long. The record is from the annotation of a GenBank genome assembly. NCBI's taxonomy places the organism in Eukaryota, Metazoa, Chordata, Lepidosauria, Squamata, Lacertidae.